CCCAGUGCGCAUGCGCGCGCCUACGCCCCGCUCCCAGUAAACGCGGCACGGCGGAGUGGAGAGUGAAGAAGAUCUGGGACAUGCGGUCCCUUGGACUGCGGGUCUGCUCCACUGGCCCGCAGUGGUCUGGGGCUCAGAGUGGAGAGAAAUGUGGAGCAGAACGAAACCUGGCCUCGUGGCUCCGAUGGGCCCGUGACAAGUGGAAGUGGGGGCCCAGUGCUUGCUCUGCUGCCUGCCUUCCUUGCUAAACACAAAGAAACCCUGUAAUAGCGUGCUUAGUGUUGCAUAUGCUCCAAUUUAUCCGUAAGAAGUGGGAUUGAACCAAAGCAAACAUCCUUGUGGAAUUAAAGAAGUUUUACAAGGCAGACCUCCCUGAGCAGCAGCAGUUCUGCGGUGAGGAUGGAAAAUAAGAACUUUUUAAGAAGCUGGAAAUUUGGGUUUCAGUAUGAAAUCUGAUUGUUAAAUAUUAGACUAUGGCUCAACUCUUCUCUAAUGGAAUGAACAACAAGGCACAAUCUGGCCACAUUCAGCAGUGAGUCAUGUGAACAACAUGUGAUCUCAUACAAAUCCAGUGGGGGACAGUCUUCUGGUUUAAGUGAUUUAACCUGUUUGCCGGCUCCUCCCUUCAAGGCUCUCUGCGUCUUUCUCCCUCCUUUCUUGGAACAAACUGGUACAACUUGAGACUGAAGAUCUGGGCUAAGAAAAUUGAGGAAAAGUAUGAGGAAAACUCAGAAUUUCUGAGUAGGUCCAUGAGGCCUGUUUACAUCUCCUAGUUACAGCACCCCUAUUGUGGGAUGGAGGAAGGUGAAAAUCAAACCAGAAAGUUUCUUACUGGGCAUGGAAUUAGAACAAAGAAAAGUUGAAAACUUGUUUUAAAUUUUCUAAUAAGAGAAUUUCGAAACAUAAAAGUAGAAUAACUACAAUGAACUUUCAUAUACUCAUAAACCAGUUUCAACAACAA
Long non-coding RNA from Balaenoptera musculus (blue whale), 961 nucleotides. RefSeq lists it as uncharacterized. The transcript is spliced from 2 exons. The record is from RefSeq and is a predicted model, not a curated record. Lineage: Eukaryota; Metazoa; Chordata; Mammalia; Artiodactyla; Balaenopteridae.